GAUGAACGCUGGCGGCGUGCUUAACACAUGCAAGUCGAACGAAGCACUUUAUUUGAUUUCCUUCGGGACUGAUUAUUUUGUGACUGAGUGGCGGACGGGUGAGUAACGCGUGGGUAACCUGCCUUGUACAGGGGGAUAACAGUUGGAAACGGCUGCUAAUACCGCAUAAGCGCACAGCAUCGCAUGAUGCAGUGUGAAAAACUCCGGUGGUAUAAGAUGGACCCGCGUUGGAUUAGCUAGUUGGUGAGGUAACGGCCCACCAAGGCGACGAUCCAUAGCCGACCUGAGAGGGUGACCGGCCACAUUGGGACUGAGACACGGCCCAAACUCCUACGGGAGGCAGCAGUGGGGAAUAUUGCACAAUGGGCGAAAGCCUGAUGCAGCGACGCCGCGUGAGCGAAGAAGUAUUUCGGUAUGUAAAGCUCUAUCAGCAGGGAAGAUAAUGACGGUACCUGACUAAGAAGCACCGGCUAAAUGCGUG
This 481-nucleotide ribosomal RNA is filed under the name uncultured bacterium. Its description in RNAcentral is "partial 16S ribosomal RNA". It matches the Rfam family "Bacterial small subunit ribosomal RNA", at positions 28 to 507 of the family's 1533-position model. The record is from RNAcentral.